Lotus japonicus is the source of this 1228-nucleotide long non-coding RNA. RefSeq lists it as uncharacterized. Lineage: Eukaryota; Viridiplantae; Streptophyta; Magnoliopsida; Fabales; Fabaceae. The transcript is spliced from 6 exons. The record is from RefSeq and is a predicted model, not a curated record.
AUUUUUAUUUUUUCUCUAUGGAUUUUGUACGGUUUUAACACCAUACUACACAGAAGAGGUUCUAUUUUCCUUGCGCGAGCUGGAAUCACCCAAUGAAGAUGGUGUUUCAAUACUCUUCUACUUGCAGAAGAUCUUUCCAGAUGAAUGGAACAACUUUCUUCAGCGAGUGAAUUGUUUGAGUGAGGAGGAACUUAAAGGGAAUGAAUCUGAUGAGUUAAAAGAAGAACUUCGUCAGUGGGCAUCAUACCGCGACCAAACUUUGACCCGAACUGUAAGAGGAAUGAUGCACUAUAGAAAAGCUUUGUAGCUCCAGGCUUUUCUUGAUAUGGCCAAAGAUGAAGAUUUGAUGGAAUGCUACAAAGCCAUAGAAAAUUCAGACGAUAACUCAAGGGGUGAAAGGUCAUUGUGGUCACAAUGUCAAGCAGUAGCUGAUAUGAAAUUCUCAUAUGUGGUGUCAUGCCAGCAAUAUGCAUGGGAUUGACAAGCGAUCUGGGGCUGCUCGUGCCCAAGACAUACUGAGGCUUAUGACAAGGUUAUUGUCCAAGAUUAAUAGUACAUGCCUUUAUGUUUGCUACCUACUAAUUAGUUUGUACCUUAUUACUUGGCAAAUAUCCUUCACUUCGAGUUGCCUAUAUUGAUGAGGUAGAGGAACCUAGCAAAGAGAGGCCGAAAAAAAUCAACAAGGUUUAUUACUCUUGCUUGGUGAAAGCUGUGCCAAAAUCCAGUAGUCCUUCAGAGACAGAGCCUACAGAGUAUUUGGACCAAGUCAUAUAUAAAAUAAAGCUUCCUGGGCCAGCUAUAUUGGGUGAGGGUAAACCUGAGAAUCAGAACCAUGCUAUUAUUUUCACACGUGGAGAAGGCUUGCGAACAAUUGAUAUGAAUCAGAAUGGGGAGAAUGGUGAUUUUCAUGAAGAACAAGAUAGAGAUGAAUAUGAAGAUGGAGAUGGAGAUGGAGAAGGAGAAGGUGAAGAAGAAGAAUAUUGAUUGCUUUUGGAAUUGAUUUUAUUUUCUUAUUUUGAAAGGUUGUUUGAAACUUAGGAUGACAUCUUCAGAUUUUAUUUUGUUGUUGUUUAUGUUGAACAGGAUUAGGCAUUGCCUUUUUUUUGUAGUAGUUUUAUUUUUUGCUCUUUGUGUUCUAAAUACAAUAUUCUUGUUAAUUAAGAUUUGGUCUUUGUUUCAUGUGAUUCAUUUGCCAAGGGCUUCUUUUGAAUGAAUCAACUUAUGAAAA